Non-coding RNA from Phalacrocorax carbo (great cormorant), 838 nucleotides. NCBI's taxonomy places the organism in Eukaryota, Metazoa, Chordata, Aves, Suliformes, Phalacrocoracidae. The record is from RefSeq and is a predicted model, not a curated record.
GGCUGAUGAAAAUCCCUGCAAGACUGUGAAUGAGCAGACAGAAGAGAAACGGAAAUGAUAGCUGCUUUUUCUUCUCUCUGUCUUGUGAGCUCAGAGCUUCUCAGUGAGGAAGGGUUGCUCCACUUCUGCUUCAAAUUAGCUGAACCUUCAGAAUUGAACAUUUAGUGUUGCAACCCUUGGGCAAAAUCGUACCUGCUCAAAACCCUCCCCUCAAAUGCACCAGCUAAGGAACUUGAAGACAGGGAAAGAAAAUAUUUGAACGAGAAAGGGAAAGUUAGGUAAGGAAGAGUUGUUUCUGAGAAGGGUGUACGGGAGUCCAGGAGGGUAGACUGUAAAAAUAGUGUCAGAAAUGUGCUUAAAUUUUUUUCCUUCCUGUAAUAUUCAGGUUUGUAAUAACAAACCCCAAUCAAAACAAGUUGUCUUCUGUAAGAAUCUGUACAGCCGGAGCUAGCAAUUAUUUUGGCUGUCAGUCUUAGUGGAGAGAUGCUGACUCACAGUUUACUCGGUACAACAGUCUGUAUUUUUCUUGCUUUUCUCAACACUUGCUGUAUGAACGUGUUGAAGUAUAUUUGUAUAUCUUUUAUCUUUCUGUGGUUCUCUUAUUUCAAAAAUCAAAAACUGUUCUGGUUCUCUGUGAAAGAGAUAUUUUUGCUUGUCUCAGCAAAAAUGAUGUCUUGGUACAUUAAAAAGGAUGUUCAACUGAAAUGGAAUGCAGUAAGUUGCCAAAUAGUGUUAAAGAAAACACCCCAAUAAAGCAAAAACUUAUUUACAUCCUAUGUGAGUUCCCAUGUAGUGUACGUAGCGUGCAGUUCUUAGGAAAUAAAAGAUGUAAUUUAGA